Molecule: ribosomal RNA, 513 nt
Filed under: uncultured bacterium
Lineage: Bacteria
Description: partial 16S ribosomal RNA
Rfam family: Bacterial small subunit ribosomal RNA
Source: RNAcentral
GACGAACGCUGGCGGCGUGCUUAACACAUGCAAGUCGAACGACAAGAGGGAAAGAGCUUGCUCUUUCCGGAAUUGAGUGGCAAACGGGUGAGUAACACGUCAACAACCAGCCUUUCGGAUGGGGUCAACAGACGGAAACGACUGCUAAUCCCGAUACAGUUCCAAGAGCCGCAUGGCCCAUGGUAGAACAGGUGGCCUCUGCCUGUAAGCUAUCGCCAGUAGCGGGGUUUGCGUCUGAUUGGCUGGCUGGAGGGGUAACGGUCCACCAAGGCGACGAUCAGGAGGCGGGCUUGGGAGAUGAACGAGCACACUUGAAAUGAGACACGGGCCAGAACCCCACGGGAGGCAGCAGGGGGGAAUCUUCCGCAAUGGGGGGAAGCCUGACGGAAGAACGACGGGGGAGGGAUGACGGCCUUCGGGUUGGAAAACUCUGUGAUCCGGGACGAAAAGGCAGAGUGCGAAUAACAAGCUGCAUUGACGGUACCGGAAAAGCAAGCCACGGCUAACUACGUG